RNAcentral lists this unclassified non-coding RNA (343 nucleotides) under soil metagenome. RNAcentral describes it as "partial contains 5.8S ribosomal RNA, internal transcribed spacer 2, and large subunit ribosomal RNA". The stretch from base 1 to 120 matches the Rfam family "5.8S ribosomal RNA", at positions 35 to 154 of the family's 154-position model. The record is from RNAcentral.
GAUGAAGAACGUAGCGAAAUGCGAUAAGUAAUGUGAAUUGCAGAAUUCAGUGAAUCAUCGAAUCUUUGAACGCACAUUGCGCCCGCUAGUAUUCUGGCGGGCAUGCCUGUCCGAGCGUCAUUUCAACCCUCAAGCCCCCAGGCUUGGUGUUGGGGAUCGGCGAGCCUCCGCGCCCGCCGUCCCCUAAAUCUAGUGGCGCUCUCGCUGUAGCUUCCUCUGCGUAGUAGCACACCUCGCACUGGGAAACAGCGCGGCCACGCCGUUAAACCCCCAACUUCUGAACGUUUGACCUCGGAUCAGGUAGGAAUACCCGCUGAACUUAAGCAUAUCAAUAAGCGGAGGA